CUUGGUAAAGAUAGCUAAGGGGGUACACCCAGUUACAUUCCGAACCUGGAAGUUAAGCCCUUAAACGCCGAAAGUACUGAAUUGGAGACGAU
RNAcentral lists this ribosomal RNA (92 nucleotides) under Hypnocyclicus thermotrophus. The record is from RNAcentral. Lineage: Bacteria; Fusobacteriati; Fusobacteriota; Fusobacteriia; Fusobacteriales; Fusobacteriaceae.